This 1860-nucleotide long non-coding RNA is filed under the name Populus tremula. Its description in RNAcentral is "long non-coding RNA (PTRE_LNC003395)". Lineage: Eukaryota; Viridiplantae; Streptophyta; Magnoliopsida; Malpighiales; Salicaceae. The record is from RNAcentral.
AACCGGCAGGAGAGAAGAGAGGAAGAAGAAGAAGAAGAGAAAAGAGGGGAAAAUAAGGGAAAAAGGAAAAAGAUUGAAGAAAAUAAGUAAAAAGGUAAGAUUUAUGGUUUUAAGUGUAUAAUAUGUUAAAUUUCGGUUUUGAUUAAUUUUGAGAGUUUUGAAGUUUGUAUUUUGAGUUAAUUGAUGAAUUAAUUUGAAGGUUAGGAGUUGAUUAUUGUGGGUAUUUGAUUAAUUAGUUGAUUUUGAGAGAUUGAAUUGAAAGAUAAUGAUUUUGAGUUAUGAUUUUGUUUAAAUGGUGAAAUUUGUUAGAAAUCAGGGGAUAACAGUAGGUGAUCUGUUGAAAUUCUGGGUUUGAGGUUGAAGAUGACGAAAAUUCAGUUUGGUCCCUCAAUUUGUGAAAUUGCAGUUUAGUCCCCGAACUUUGGAAAUUUUACAGAUUGGUCCCUGGGGCAUAAAUUGAGGUUCUGAACAGAACUGAGGAUGAUUUAAGGACAAAAUUCCAGUAUAAUUAAUAUUUUCAGUUUGGUCCUCCAAUUUGACAAAUUAAUUUGACCCUAAAUUUGUAAAUCACAUGGUCCUUGGGCAUAAUUCAAGAUUCUGGACAGAUAAGGACGAAUUAUGGAUAAAUUUCAGUAUGGUAUAUAUAUUUACAAUUCGGUCCUCAAAUUUGGUAAAAUUACGUUUUGGUCCCUGUUUUGGAAAAUUGUCGUUUUAGUCCCUAAACUUGGGAGAUUAAGCCCGGUUUAUUUUAUGCAUUGGGAUCUUUUGUUUGAUUUGUUUUUGAGUAUAUUUCAUAUAUUUAUUGUAGGUUCUCCUAACGAUCCUUAAUCGGAUUUUCGGGUCUUUGUCUGACAUUCCUUUAGUUCAGUAUUUUCCGGGUGAGUGGAAUAAUCUUUAAUAUGCAUAUAUAUAUAUAAAUAAAUAUGUAUGUUGAUUAUACAAUGAGUACAACUAGUAAAUUUCUUGAAUAUUUAUAUAUGUUGCUUUAUUUUCCGAGUACUCAUUUAUUCUUGAAUUUGCACUCGCAAUCUGUUAAAGUAAAUUCUAUUUGAUAUGAUAUACGUUUCUUUGAUGAUUAUGUGAAUAUCUGUUAUGCCUUGAUAUGGGACUUGUCAGUACUCCAUGCUAACGGAGAAUAGUUAGCCUGUGUGCACAUAGUAUUCUGUUACCUAGCUGGUGAGAGAGGCAUCAGCCUGUGGCGAUUGAUCAUCCCACAGUGGUCACCGACGGGUGUCAGUCACCGACGGGUGUCAUCUGGUCACCUUCGGGUGUCAUCUGGUCACCUUCGGGUGUCAUCUGAUCUCUGACAUGUAAUCCACUACGUUAUGAUAAUAUGUUACGUUAUGAUAAUAUGUUUAGUAAGUAUAUGUAUAUGUAUAUUAAGAUAAAUCAUCUUACAAAUUAUUAAUAUCUGAAAUAUCUGAAAUGUAUAUUAAAUGUUAUUCCCUCACUGAGUUGUUGAACUCACCCUCAUUUUUAAUAUUAUUUCAGGUUCUUAGUUUCUGGACUUUGUUGAGUGUUUCCGUUUCUUCAGUUCUGGUCGGUAUGCCUUGCUUGUUCGCGAGGCUUUCCGUUCAGUUUUGAUAUGAUGUCUUAGACGCUCCACUGUUACCUUGUUUUAAUUACGUUUGGAUUUUGACAAUGUAAAUGUAUUAUGAAUUAUUAUUUUUGUUUUAAUAACUAUCUUUUGGUUUCAUCAGUAUUUGAAUAAUAUAAUAUUUCUGUAUAUUAUGAGCCGCUGCGUAUUUUUGAACAAAUUGUUCUUUUGAUAUGUCCGUUCUGAGGCUUAGCGUAGGUGAGGUGUCCUUUCAACACCGCUCCUACGUUGCCGGUCACGGAUCCGGGAUUCGGGUCGUGACA